UUGUUAGCUCCAGGAAAGGAGCUGGUUCAAUGCAAAAACAGAGCAUGUGUUACAUGACUCACUUGGUAUGUGAGAUACCGGUUCAAAGUGGUUAUGAGCUGAUGACGUGGAGACAUCGGCUUAGAAGAUCUUUGCUGUGGUGAUAAGCUUGAGAAGAUUUGCUGUUAGCUUAAUAUUAGGAGAUGAGAAUAUUAUGUAACAGAGUAUAUAACUGUGACUAGAUAGGAGAUUUAGGUCACGGUUUUAGAGAUUGAAAAGAGCAAGUGUAAGAGGCUGUUCUACACUGGCUCGCGUGGGUACAAUUGGUG
Molecule: long non-coding RNA, 308 nt
Filed under: Brassica napus (rape)
Lineage: Eukaryota; Viridiplantae; Streptophyta; Magnoliopsida; Brassicales; Brassicaceae
Description: long non-coding RNA (BNAP_LNC002517)
Source: RNAcentral